Molecule: long non-coding RNA, 222 nt
Filed under: Ananas comosus (pineapple)
Lineage: Eukaryota; Viridiplantae; Streptophyta; Magnoliopsida; Poales; Bromeliaceae
Description: long non-coding RNA (ACOM_LNC033139)
Source: RNAcentral
GCCGGUACUACCGUAACUGGGACAGCCGCCACUGCCGCCGCUCCCUCGCCUACACUCGGCACUACCGCAGGGGGCGCGACAUGCUCGACACCCGCCUGGGCCGCCGCCUGCUGACGCUCCAAAGCCUCCUGGAGCCGCUGAAUCUGCUCCCCUUGGCGUUGAACAGACUCCGCUUGUUGCCGCACUACGCCAAUAAGCGCGGCCAUCUACUCCCUAAGCUCU